Small nuclear RNA from Acomys russatus (golden spiny mouse), 113 nucleotides. RefSeq annotates it as U5 spliceosomal RNA. The record is from RefSeq and is a predicted model, not a curated record. The transcript has a single exon. NCBI's taxonomy places the organism in Eukaryota, Metazoa, Chordata, Mammalia, Rodentia, Muridae.
AUACUCUGGUUUUUCUUCAGAUCGCAUAAAUCUUUCGCCUUUUACUAAAGAUUUCCAUGGAAAGAUAAUUGUGGAAGAGGGAGUACAGAAAAAUUGUAAGAUCCACAGGAUCA